RNAcentral lists this ribosomal RNA (406 nucleotides) under uncultured bacterium. Its description in RNAcentral is "partial 16S ribosomal RNA". It matches the Rfam family "Bacterial small subunit ribosomal RNA", at positions 30 to 526 of the family's 1533-position model. The record is from RNAcentral.
AUUGAACGCUGGCGGCAGGCCUAACACAUGCAAGUCGAGCGAGCGGCGGACGGGUGAGUAAUGUCUGGGAAACUGCCCGAUGGAGGGGGAUAACUACUGGAAACGGUAGCUAAUAUCGUAUACGAUCUGAUGUGCCCAGAUGGGAUUGGCUAGUAGGUGGGGUAACGGCUCACCUAGGCGACGAUCCCUAGCUGGUCUGAGAGGAUGACCAUCGACCCUGGAAGUGGACCACGGUCCUGGCUCCUACGAGAGGCAGCAGUUGGGAAUAUUGCACAGUAGGGGCAAGCCUGAUGCAGCCAUGCCGAGUGUGUGAAGAAGGCGUUCGGGUUGUAAAGCACUUUCAGCGGGGAGGCGUUACCCGCAGAAGAAGCACCGGCUAACUCCGUGCCAGCCGCCGCGGUAAUAC